Molecule: unclassified non-coding RNA, 859 nt
Filed under: Hevea brasiliensis (rubber tree)
Lineage: Eukaryota; Viridiplantae; Streptophyta; Magnoliopsida; Malpighiales; Euphorbiaceae
Source: RNAcentral
GUAAAUAGUUCAGGGGCCUGCUCUGCAUCAGCAUAGCCUCUAAUCUUUGCGAUAACGUGCAAUCCUAGUUCAAGAGCCUUCUCUCCACUCACUAAUACUAAUGCAGCAGCACCAUCACUGAUGCUAGAAGCAUUGCCAGCUGUAACAGUUCCACCACUCUCUUUAAAACUUGGGCGGAGUUUCUUCAGUUUUACAGGAUCGAACUUCUCUAAGCCUUCAUCCCUCUCGACAAUGAUAGAUGGUCUUCCUCUGCCUGCAGAAACUUCAACCGGAACUAUUUCCCAUGAAAAGGCACCGCUGUCUCGAGCAGCAAUUCCACGCUCAUUGCUUUGUAUGGCAUAUGAGUCCUGCUCUUCCCUUGUUAUUGAAUGAUUUUCUGAACAUAACUCGGCACACACUCCCAUGCCAUAAUCAUUAUAAACAUCCCACAAACCAUCUUUCAGCAUACCAUCAACAAUUGUAUCAUGCCCAAAUCGAGAUCCUUUUCUUGCUUCUGCUAGAUAUUUAGGGGCAUUUGACAUGCUUUCCAUGCCACCAGCAACAACAACAUCAUGAAUGCCCAACUGAAUACUCUGUGCUGCGAUCAUUGUAGCCUUCAUCCCAGAAGCACAAACUUUGUUGAUUGUGGUGCAGAUCGCUGAAUUCGGGAUUCCAGCACCUAAUGCAGCCUGUCGCGCUGGAGCCUGCCCCAAAUUAGCACUCAAAACAUUACCAAAAUAGACCUCUUGUACAAGUGCUGCAUCAACAUUAGCCCUCUUAAGAGCACAUCUGAUAGCAAUAGAACCAAGUUUGGUGGCAGACAAAGAAGAUAGUGAACCAAGCAAGCCGCCCAUUGGUGUGCGUGCAACGCCAACAAUAC